ACACAUGCAAGUCGAACGGGAUGCUUAGGCAUCUAGUGGCGGACGGGUGAGUAACGCGUGAGAAUCUGGCUCCAGGUCGGGGAUAACAGUUGGAAACGACUGCUAAUACCGGAUGUGCCGAGAGGUGAAAGAUUUAUUGCCUGGAGAUGAGCUCGCGUCUGAUUAGCUAGUUGGUGGUGUAAGGGACCACCAAGGCGUCGAUCAGUAGCUGGUCUGAGAGGAUGAUCAGCCACACUGGGACUGAGACACGGCCCAGACUCCUACGGGAGGCAGCAGUGGGGAAUUUUCCGCAAUGGGCGAAAGCCUGACGGAGCAAUACCGCGUGAGGGAGGAAGGCUCUUGGGUCGUAAACCUCUUUUCUCAAGGAAGAAGAAAGUGACGGUACUUGAGGAAUAAGCAUCGGCUAACUCCGUGCCAGCAGCCGCGGUAAUACGGAGGAUGCAAGCGUUAUCCGGAAUGAUUGGGCGUAAAGGGUCUGCAGGUGGAACUGAAAGUCUGCUGUUAAAGAGUUUGGCUUAACCAAAUAAAAGCGGUGGAAACUACAGAACUAGAGUGCGGUAGGGGCAAAAGGAAUUCCUGGUGUAGCGGUGAAAUGCGUAGAUAUCAGGAAGAACACCGGUGGCGAAAGCGUUUUGCUAGACCGUAACUGACACUGAGGGACGAAAGCUAGGGGAGCGAAUGGGAUUAGAUACCCCAGUAGUCCUAGCCGUAAACGAUGGAUACUAGGCGUGGCUUGUAUCGACCCGAGCCGUGCCGGAGCUAACGCGUUAAGUAUCCCGCCUGGGGAGUACGCACGCAAGUGUGAAACUCAAAGGAAUUGACGGGGGCCCGCACAAGCGGUGGAGUAUGUGGUUUAAUUCGAUGCAACGCGAAGAACCUUACCAAGACUUGACAUCCUGCGAAUCCUGGUGAAAGCUGGGAGUGCCUUCGGGAGCGCAGAGACAGGUGGUGCAUGGCUGUCGUCAGCUCGUGUCGUGAGAUGUUGGGUUAAGUCCCGCAACGAGCGCAACCCUCGUUUUUAGUUGCCAGCAUUAAGUUGGGCACUCUAGAGAGACUGCCGGUGACAAACCGGAGGAAGGUGAGGAUGACGUCAAGUCAGCAUGCCCCUUACGUCUUGGGCUACACACGUACUACAAUGCUACGGACAGAGGGCAGCAAGCCAGGGAUGGCAAGCGAAUCCAGAAACCGUAGCUCAGUUCAGAUCGAAGGCUGCAACUCGCCUUCGUGAAGGAGGAAUCGCUAGUAAUUGCAGGUCAGCAUACUGCAGUGAAUUCGUUCCCGGGCCUUGUACACACCGCCCGUCACACCAUGGAAGUUGGUCACGCCCGAAGUCAUUACCCCAACCGAAAGGAGGG
This 1355-nucleotide ribosomal RNA is filed under the name Cylindrospermopsis raciborskii PMC115.02. Its description in RNAcentral is "bacterial SSU rRNA". It matches the Rfam family "Bacterial small subunit ribosomal RNA". The record is from RNAcentral. Lineage: Bacteria; Bacillati; Cyanobacteriota; Cyanophyceae; Nostocales; Aphanizomenonaceae.